GUGGGGAAUAUUGGGCAAUGGAGGGAACUCUGACCCAGCAAUACCGCGUGGAUGAAGAAGGUUUUCGGAUUGUAAAGUCCUUUAAGUCGGGAAGAAGAAAGUGACAGUACCGACAGAAUAAGCAUCGGCUAACUACGUGCCAGCAGCCGCGGUAAUACGUAGGAUGCAAGCGUUGUCCGGAAUGACUGGGCGUAAAGGGUGCGUAGGCGGCGUAUCAAGUUGGUAGCGUAAUUCCAUGGCUCAACCGUGGAACUACUACCAAAACUGGUAUGCUUGAGUACGGUAGAGGUAUGUGGAAUUCCUAGUGUAGCGGUGGAAUGCGUAGAUAUUAGGAGGAACACCGGAGGCGAAAGCGACAUACUGGGCCGAAACUGACGCUGAGGCACGAAAGCGUGGGGAGCAAACAGGA
Molecule: ribosomal RNA, 409 nt
Filed under: uncultured bacterium
Lineage: Bacteria
Description: bacterial SSU rRNA
Rfam family: Bacterial small subunit ribosomal RNA
Source: RNAcentral